GACGAACGCUGGCGGCGUGCUUAACACAUGCAAGUCGAACGGACAGGCCCUGCUUUUGCGGGGUGCUCGAGUGGCGAACGGGUGAGUAACACGUGAGUAACCCGCCCUUGACUUUGGGAUAACUUCAGGAAACUGGGGCUAAUACCGGAUAGGAGCUCCUGCUGCAUGGUGGGGGCUGGAAAGUUUCGGCGGUUGGGGAUGGGCUCGCGCCAUAUCAGCUUGCUUGGGGGGUAGUGGCUUACCAAGGCUUGGACAGGUAGCCGGCCUGGGAGGAUGACCUGCCACGUUUGGCCGGGGAUGCGACCCAGACUAGAACGGGAGGCAGCGGUGGAGAGUGUUACACAAUAGGCGGGAGCCAAAUGCGACAACGCCACGUGCGGGAUGACAGCCUUCGGGUAGUGAACCGCUUUCGCCUUUGACGAGACGUGAGUGACGGUAAUGGGUGAAUAAGCACCGGCUAACUACGUG
Molecule: ribosomal RNA, 468 nt
Filed under: uncultured bacterium
Lineage: Bacteria
Description: partial 16S ribosomal RNA
Rfam family: Bacterial small subunit ribosomal RNA
Source: RNAcentral